GGACAAUUUUCAAGGUAUAUGUAAAUUAAAAUAUGUCAUAUCACAACUAUGUUCUCUAAUUAACUCUCUUACAUAAAACAUGACUUAGGGCUUUUUUUUAAAAAAAUGGGUUUUUUUGUGCAGUGUUCCAUGAGAGUCAUGAUAAAUGAAGGCUUAAUCAAGAUCUAGUACCUGCAGAAGAAUCAAGCUAGUUCUUCACAAUUAAGCAUUUAGGUACACAGCUUCUCAGCAUUUAUAUAAACCUACAGUAGUGUCCAAUGUUAUACUCCCAGGGAUUCCAGUUGUGGAGAGCUCUUGCAGGAAGACAAGCUUGAAUGCUCCAAGAUUUAUAUUCUGAUCUCAAGAAGGCACAGCAUUUUUGAUCUCCUUUGUAGAGGAGGAUUAAUCAGAAAUACUCCUGAAUUUAACCAUUCCACUGGCAGAAUAAAAGUUCUCAUACUGUGAAAGAAAAUCUUCCUGCUCAGGCAAAAAGGUAUGAUAAUUCAAGUUCUAAAGAC
Molecule: long non-coding RNA, 497 nt
Filed under: Cyanistes caeruleus (blue tit)
Lineage: Eukaryota; Metazoa; Chordata; Aves; Passeriformes; Paridae
Description: lncRNA (ENSCCEG00000023362.1)
Source: RNAcentral